This 70-nucleotide transfer RNA is filed under the name Loxodonta africana (African savanna elephant). It matches the Rfam family "tRNA". From Rfam's summary of the family: Transfer RNA (tRNA) molecules are approximately 80 nucleotides in length. Their secondary structure includes four short double-helical elements and three loops (D, anti-codon, and T loops). Further hydrogen bonds mediate the characteristic L-shaped molecular structure. tRNAs have two regions of fundamental functional importance: the anti-codon, which is responsible for specific mRNA codon recognition, and the 3' end, to which the tRNAs corresponding amino acid is attached (by aminoacyl-tRNA synthetases). tRNAs cope with the degeneracy of the genetic code in two manners: having more than one tRNA (with a specific anti-codon) for a particular amino acid; and 'wobble' base-pairing, i.e. permitting non-standard base-pairing at the 3rd anti-codon position. Lineage: Eukaryota; Metazoa; Chordata; Mammalia; Proboscidea; Elephantidae. The record is from Rfam by way of RNAcentral.
GCCCUGGUGGUGCAGUGGUUACAUGCUCGGCUGCUAACCGAAAGUCGCGGGUUCAAACCCACCAGCUGCU